AAACGGGUGCGGAACACGUACGCAACCUUCCCAAAACUGGUGAAUAGCCCUCCGAAAGGAGGACUAAUACACCGUAAGAUAAUGAGGUGGCAUCACUUUAUUAUUAUAGCUACGGCGGUUUUGGAUGGGCGUGCGCCUGAUUAGGUAGUUGGCGGGGUAACGGCCCACCAAGCCUGCGAUCAGUAACUGGUGUGAGAGCACGACCAGUCACACGGGCACUGAGACACGGGCCCG
RNAcentral lists this ribosomal RNA (234 nucleotides) under uncultured bacterium. RNAcentral's name for it is "partial 16S ribosomal RNA". It matches the Rfam family "Bacterial small subunit ribosomal RNA", at positions 101 to 334 of the family's 1533-position model. The record is from RNAcentral.